Molecule: ribosomal RNA, 566 nt
Filed under: uncultured bacterium
Lineage: Bacteria
Description: partial 16S ribosomal RNA
Rfam family: Bacterial small subunit ribosomal RNA
Source: RNAcentral
UGGGGAAUUUUGGACAAUGGGCGAAAGCCUGAUCCAGCAAUGCCGCGUGUGUGAAGAAGGCCUUCGGGUUGUAAAGCACUUUUGUCCGGAAAGAAAUCCUUGGCUCUAAUACAGUCGGGGGAUGACGGUACCGGAAGAAUAAGCACCGGCUAACUACGUGCCAGCAGCCGCGGUAAUACGUAGGGUGCAAGCGUUAAUCGGAAUUACUGGGCGUAAAGCGUGCGCAGGCGGUUUGCUAAGACCGAUGUGAAAUCCCCGGGCUCAACCUGGGAACUGCAUUGGUGACUGGCAGGCUAGAGUAUGGCAGAGGGGGGUAGAAUUCCACGUGUAGCAGUGAAAUGCGUAGAGAUGUGGAGGAAUACCGAUGGCGAAGGCAGCCCCCUGGGCCAAUACUGACGCUCAUGCACGAAAGCGUGGGGAGCAAACAGGAUUAGAUACCCUGGUAGUCCACGCCCUAAAACGAUGUCAACUAGUUGUUGGGGAUUCAUUUCCUAGUAACGUAGCUAACGCGUGAAGUUGACCGCCUGGGGAGUACGGUCGCAAGAUUAAAACUCAAGUGAAUUGAC